This 136-nucleotide small nucleolar RNA is filed under the name Hordeum vulgare subsp. vulgare (domesticated barley). RNAcentral's name for it is "Small nucleolar RNA Z247". It matches the Rfam family "Small nucleolar RNA Z247". Rfam says of the family: Z247 is a member of the C/D class of snoRNA which contain the C (UGAUGA) and D (CUGA) box motifs. The record is from Rfam by way of RNAcentral. Lineage: Eukaryota; Viridiplantae; Streptophyta; Magnoliopsida; Poales; Poaceae.
GCCAUCCAAGAUGAUGAGCUCAUCUCCUACAUCAUCCAUGGGCUUGAUCAAGAUUAUCAGCCCCUCGUCUCCGCCCUAGAUGCUCGAACCCCGGUAACCUUCGAUGAACUCUUCGCUAUGCUUAGUAACUUUGAUC